Etheostoma spectabile (orangethroat darter) is the source of this 110-nucleotide long non-coding RNA. RefSeq lists it as uncharacterized. Lineage: Eukaryota; Metazoa; Chordata; Actinopteri; Perciformes; Percidae. The record is from RefSeq and is a predicted model, not a curated record. The transcript has 4 exons.
UAUGUAGUUGUGUACAGGGGCGUAGCACACAAUUCCGGGCCCUGUAGAAAGGCAUUUUCUGUGGGCCCCUCCCCGCAUCCACAGCUAUUCAUUCUAGCAUCUUUUUGGGC